This 447-nucleotide ribosomal RNA is filed under the name uncultured bacterium. Its description in RNAcentral is "partial 16S ribosomal RNA". It matches the Rfam family "Bacterial small subunit ribosomal RNA", at positions 29 to 523 of the family's 1533-position model. The record is from RNAcentral.
AGCGAACGCUGGCGGCAGGCCUAACACAUGCAAGUCGAACGAUCCUUCGGGAUAGUGGCGGACGGGUGAGUAACACGUGGGAACGUACCUUUAGGUUCGGGAUAACUCAGGGAAACUUGAGCUAAUACCGGAUGUGCCCUUCGGGGGAAAGAUUUAUCGCCUUUAGAGCGGCCCGCGUUAGAUUAGCUAGUUGGUGAGGUAAAGGCUCACCAAGGCUCCGAUCUAUGGCUGGUCUGAGAGGAUGAUCAGCCACACUGGGACUGAGACACGGCCCAGACUCCUACGGGAGGCAGCAGUGGGGAAUCUUGCGCAAUGGGCGAAAGCCUGACGCAGCCAUGCCGCGUGAAUGAUGAAGGUCUUAGGAUUGUAAAAUUCUUUUAGCAGGGACGAUAAUGACGGUACCUGCAGAAAAAGCCCCGGCUAACUUCGUGCCAGCCGCCGCCGUAA